AGUCGUACGCUUCUUUUUCCCCGGAGCUUGCUCCACCGGAAAAAGAAGAGUGGCGAACGGGUGAGUAACACGUGGGUAACCUGCCCAUCAGAAGGGGAUAACACUUGGAAACAGGUGCUAAUACCGUAUAACAAUCGAAACCGCAUGGUUUUGAUUUGAAAGGCGCUUUCGGGUGUCGCUGAUGGAUGGACCCGCGGUGCAUUAGCUAGUUGGUGAGGUAACGGCUCACCAAGGCCACGAUGCAUAGCCGACCUGAGAGGGUGAUCGGCCACAUUGGGACUGAGACACGGCCCAAACUCCUACGGGAGGCAGCAGUAGGGAAUCUUCGGCAAUGGACGAAAGUCUGACCGAGCAACGCCGCGUGAGUGAAGAAGGUUUUCGGAUCGUAAAACUCUGUUGUUAGAGAAGAACAAGGAUGAGAGUAACUGUUCAUCCCUUGACGGUAUCUAACCAGAAAGCCACGGCUAACUACGUGCCAGCAGCCGCGGUAAUACGUAGGUGGCAAGCGUUGUCCGGAUUUAUUGGGCGUAAAGCGAGCGCAGGCGGUUUCUUAAGUCUGAUGUGAAAGCCCCCGGCUCAACCGGGGAGGGUCAUUGGAAACUGGGAGACUUGAGUGCAGAAGAGGAGAGUGGAAUUCCAUGUGUAGCGGUGAAAUGCGUAGAUAUAUGGAGGAACACCAGUGGCGAAGGCGGCUCUCUGGUCUGUAACUGACGCUGAGGCUCGAAAGCGUGGGGAGCAAACAGGAUUAGAUACCCUGGUAGUCCACGCCGUAAACGAUGAGUGCUAAGUGUUGGAGGGUUUCCGCCCUUCAGUGCUGCAGCUAACGCAUUAAGCACUCCGCCUGGGGAGUACGACCGCAAGGUUGAAACUCAAAGGAAUUGACGGGGGGCCCGCACAAGCGGUGGAGCAUGUGGUUUAAUUCGAAGCAACGCGAAGAACCUUACCAGGUCUUGACAUCCUUUGACCACUCUAGAGAUAGAGCUUCCCCUUCGGGGGCAAAGUGACAGGUGGUGCAUGGUUGUCGUCAGCUCGUGUCGUGAGAUGUUGGGUUAAGUCCCGCAACGAGCGCAACCCUUAUUGUUAGUUGCCAUCAUUUAGUUGGGCACUCUAGCAAGACUGCCGGUGACAAACCGGAGGAAGGUGGGGAUGACGUCAAAUCAUCAUGCCCCUUAUGACCUGGGCUACACACGUGCUACAAUGGGAAGUACAACGAGUCGCGAAGUCGCGAGGCUAAGCUAAUCUCUUAAAGCUUCUCUCAGUUCGGAUUGUAGGCUGCAACUCGCCUACAUGAAGCCGGAAUCGCUAGUAAUCGCGGAUCAGCACGCCGCGGUGAAUACGUUCCCGGGCCUUGUACACACCGCCCGUCACACCACGAGAGUUUGUAACACCCGAAGUCGGUGAGGUAACC
RNAcentral lists this ribosomal RNA (1408 nucleotides) under Enterococcus durans. RNAcentral's name for it is "bacterial SSU rRNA". It matches the Rfam family "Bacterial small subunit ribosomal RNA". Lineage: Bacteria; Bacillati; Bacillota; Bacilli; Lactobacillales; Enterococcaceae. The record is from RNAcentral.